UAGGCUCCUGGAAGAACCUCAGGGUUAUAUCUAAGUCAGCAGGACCCAGAAGAGUUAUAUUUAUUAGCACAGCUGUCUACAUUCAUCCUUGCUUUUCUUUAUUUAAAAAAAAAAACAGGAUAAUUGAAGAGAUUUUAAAUUGGCUUCUACUAACAUGAUAAAUAUAGUUUAAAAAUAACAAUGAUAGAUGGUGUUUAGAUGCUAGUUGUUCAAGCCUCUAAUCCUAGCUGCUAAGAAGGCAGAGAUUGGGAGAUUGCAGUUUGAGGCCAGUUCAAGCAUAAAAACUCCAGAGAUUCUCUCCAUCAGUGGAUAGAUGAGGUAGUCGGCACCCAUUCUUCCAGCUACAGGGGACUCACACUGGAAUCCCAGUGGCA
Molecule: long non-coding RNA, 374 nt
Organism: Perognathus longimembris pacificus (Pacific pocket mouse)
Lineage: Eukaryota; Metazoa; Chordata; Mammalia; Rodentia; Heteromyidae
Exons: 3
Source: RefSeq, a predicted model, not a curated record